CUGGAAUCUUUUUGCUGUUGACUGAACAGAUAAGGAGAGAUGGCCCUUUCACGAUAAAAUCCUGCUCAUGAAAACAAGGCUUUCUGAUUUGUGUGGAAAAAAGUAGGGUUGCAGUACGCACUCGCUGACCGAAUAGCUGUGCGGUGAUAUGCGAUGAUGUGAUCAGGGACAUCCAGCGGGUGCCCGCCGUGGGAAGAGGCGAUGCUCAUCCGCCCCUCAUGAUAAAGAAUGGCUGGAGCAACCGCGUUUCAGAAGGUUUGCAGCAGAUCAACAUGGAUCCUCUAUAAAUACCGCUCCCACUCUGUCUUCCACAAGGCAGGGCACAAUGAAAGGAAAGAUCUGGCUGAGUGGUAAACAAUGCAGAGCCUCCCAGGUCAUACCCAGCUCACAAAAGACAAGAGGGACUGUCCCAGUGCAUAGCUGGCCAAAUGCCCCACACAAUCAGACCACACAAUGCAGUAAUCAACCCAAAUGAACAUAAAGAUAAAUUCAUCAUAUCUAUUCAAAGAUGCCACUGUGUAUAAAGUACACCGCAGUGCUCAAGGGGGAUCAGGUGCAAACGAAUGGAAGUUAAAAGUAUUUGGAUAUGUUAUAUCAUCGACACUUUUGCCCCAGAAGAUUUCAACACAAAUGUCUUUAUGUGAGCUUUAACAAACUUCAUUUUACAGCAAGAAAAGACCUAAACACAAAAAUAAAGGUUCUUUUA
This is a long non-coding RNA of Equus caballus (horse), 706 nucleotides long. RefSeq lists it as uncharacterized. The record is from RefSeq and is a predicted model, not a curated record. NCBI's taxonomy places the organism in Eukaryota, Metazoa, Chordata, Mammalia, Perissodactyla, Equidae.